AACGAACGCUGGCGGCAUGCCUAACACAUGCAAGUCGAACGAGACCUUCGGGUCUAGUGGCGCACGGGUGCGUAACGCGUGGGAACCUGCCCUUAGGUUCGGAAUAACUCCCCGAAAGGGGUGCUAAUACCGGAUAAUGUCUUCGGACCAAAGAUUUAUCGCCUUUGGAUGGGCCGGCGUUGGAUUAGCUAGUUGGUAGGGUAAAAGCCUACCAAGGCGACGAUCCAUAGCUGGUCUGAGAGGAUGAUCAGCCACACUGGAACUGAGACACGGCCCAGACUCCGAGGGGAGGCAGCAGUGGGGAAUAGUGGACAAUGGGCGAAAGCGUGAUACAGAAAAGCCGCGUGUGUGAAGAAGGUCUUCGGAUUGGAAAGCACUUUAAGUGGGGAGGAAGGGCAGUAAGUUAAUACCUUGCUGUUUGGACGUUACCAAAAGAAUAAGCACCGGCUAACUUCGUG
Molecule: ribosomal RNA, 458 nt
Filed under: uncultured bacterium
Lineage: Bacteria
Description: partial 16S ribosomal RNA
Rfam family: Bacterial small subunit ribosomal RNA
Source: RNAcentral